CCGCUACGAGCGGCGAGAGUUCCACAGCCCGAUGGAACGUCCGCUUCUGCCCGCCUCCGGAAGCGCGAGCGAACGAGCGUACCACGCGUGUACGUGGAUCACCGCGGAUUCUCGCUGCUGUGCCGCCGCCAACCGGACGCAUUCGUUGGAUUCUGUCGACCGGUCAUCGAGUUCCCGAGUCGUUUCGUUCGAAGCAGCUGAACCCGGUUACGAUCGGUUUUAGAUUAGGGAGAAGCUUAGAAUUUCCAGAGCAAUUUCAAGGUUUGGAAUGCUUUGGCAUUGGGAUAGGGAAACUUGGGACUGAUGACAAUUCGGAUUCGAGGGCGGAAUAGAAGGAGAAGAUUAAAGGAUACGGUCAGCUUAGAAAAUUCUGCACGCGCAAUGCGGAUUUCGAUCGCCACGCUGGUCGAAACGGCGAAACUCGACCGGGACUCGACCCAGAUCCUGUGCCCGAAAACCGGAGUACAAUCAGCAGCGAGUAACGGGGAGUUGAAACGGCGGUACUCGAAAAUUCAACGCGCUGCAGGCAUUCGAAACGAGCCAUAUGGGUAAACCGAGCUACCAACGGUAGCUUUCCAUUGUGUGCAAUGCGACAACAAUAUAAUAAAAAUAAUUUCCCGGAGGCAGAAACGUCGCCAGGGUAUUAGCGAGCUAAUGAAACGUGAGUUGGAGCCUAGCGUCUGGUGUCGCGUUUCCGGAAGACGGGAGGGGACGACUACCUUUCGGACGGAAGCCCGGGGAACGCGGUUACGAAAGCAAAGGGGACGGAGCAGAGAAAGAACACGAAUAAAAGAAAGACAGAAAGGAGAAACCCGAUCAAUUUAUUUAUUAAACGUUUUUCAUGCUUUUGUCGUAGCCUGUCGUGUUCCCACGGGAAAUACGAGGCGCUUAAAAGAGUGCUCCCGAGUUUGGCGAAUCUUGUGCGGGAGGGAAUCGCCAGGACCGACAGGAUGCCGGCGGAUCAACCAAAGAUACCUACCCCUAAUGGAAUCACGACCGACCUACACGAAUUUGAGAAGAAACCAAUAUAUUUCGCGAGAUUCAUGGGAUUUUUGUUCUGUGUGUGUACGAUCAACUCGAUUGUCUCGAAUUACAUACAAUGGCUACGGCAAAUACUGUCACACAUCCUUAAUUGCCAACCAAACAUUUACUUCGAAGGUUCUACGUUUAAUUUUUCAAUUUUGGAGAAUCUGUUUGAUUUUGAAUAGUUUCGAGGAAAUUGUUCGUUUCUCGUUAAAGUUCAGAGAAGGAAGAAUGUUUCUAAAAGUUUCGAAUUGGCAGUUAAUAUGGAUGUAGGACUAUAAAAAAUUAGUUACUCAAGAUAUUCCUCGAAAGUGAAACUAAACAGAAAUACUUCAUUCGAUUACUCGAGCGGCAUAAGUAGAAAUCACAGCGACGCUUAACGACCACAAAUCGAAACGAGGCAAUGUCGUAACGCGUUUUCGUGCUUUUAGUGUCGAAAAACGGUCCCAUUCGAACGAAAAUAAUCUUAUUACCCAUAAAAACAACGUUUGAAGCGAUCGUAAAGAACGAGACGGUAGCCGUAAAAAUAAAAAAAAAAAAAAAGAAAAUGAGAAAACGACGAAGAAAACAAGAAGGGAGUCUACUCUAGGCGGAGGACGCUAUCUCUUCCGCCCUUACAUAACGCAAGGAUUCUAAAGGAUGAGAUUCGAGACGAACCUGCGUCUCCUUUCGAAUUUACGACCAGAGCGACUUUUAUGCCACAGAUUUGUCCUACAACUUAUCGAUUCCAUUAAGCACUAUUAGCAAGCCGAAGCAACUUGGCAUCGAGAGGUAGACCUCGAGCGGUCAACAGGCUCUCGACAUCGCUUACCUGUUCGUCCGGUUCGCCUCGAGUGGAUUCAUUUGUUUUAGGAACGAUGAGGAUGACGGAGAUUCGGGCGUUGAGAUAAAGGAGUCGAUUCGAAGGCCUCCAGGAUCUAUCUUCGAAUAUUUCGAAUUUGUUUUCCAUGAAAGAUGACUCUGCUCUUUCAUCUUAUACGGCACGCUCGAUUUCAUUCGACUUAUCGUUUGGAAGAUAAUGGACGUUCGUCAGAGACGAAAUAUGCACAGAAUACGUUUUCGUUGAAUAUCUUCUCGAUGAUGUAAUGUUUAACUUUAUUAUCUGACCAGUUAGUCGCUUUAAUUAUUAUACCAAAUUCUAUUUUUCUUAUUCUUUUUUAUUACAUUUAGAUAAUAGGUAGAGAUAGAAAUAAUAAUUGAAGAUGGAAAUAAUAAGCGAAGAUAGAGACAAUAAGUGGAGUUGAUCAGUUUGGCUUGUGACUUAUAUAUUUCAUUAUUCUGAAAUGCUUGUUAGAACUCGCUUUUGGUCUGUAGAACACAUUCAUUCUAACCACAGCCUUAGUCACAAAUAUCGCAGAAAAUUAGCCAAACUCAACAAUUCACGUUUUAUAACCAAGGUCUAAUACAUUUUGAAUAAUAAAACGCGUAACAUUUUCUUCCUUUUCAACAAUUUCCAACUAGUAUUCAUCUUUCCCUUUCCGUUUGAUAUCUCGAGGAAGCCCUCGAGACAGCCUCCUCACCCGAGCUCCUCCACGUUCAGAGUCCUUUUUUCCAUUUUUCCCCUCCACUUUUCUUCCUUUCUUUCUUUUCUUCCCCUUUUAAUCCGCCCGCGCGUUGCCUCUCCUCCUUUUUCUUACGAGAAAUGGGACAGGCUCAGAUUUCACCGGUGGACUCUCGAGGAGACUCGCGUCGUAACUCUAGACAGGCAGCGUCUAUUUUCCUCGGGAAAAUUAAUGGUGCCGCUGACAAGCCGCGUAAAAAAAUACGACCGUUCGUCGUAUACAUCGAUUUCCUCGAUGCGACCUCGCAAUUUCGUCGGUGACUCGCAUCACGCUUUUUCCUUCCCACCGUCGAACUCCACUUCGUGGCUCGGCGCUUCGUUUCUUCUCUUCCAAACGCCGCGUGAUCGAUCGUUUGUCUCCUGUUACGCGAAACCACGGUUUCGUCGACCGGUUCCGUGGACUUCGAAUCUUUAAAAGAUGGUCAGUCGUGGAGUUUCUCUCGAUUUUUCGGCAAUGGAAUUUCGAAGCAGGCUACGAAGGUUAUCGCUAACGCGGUUGGUCACUUAGGACUAUCUCUCCGCAGAAAAUCGGACACUUUGAUCUCUAAGUAGAGUGAUGCCAGAUUCUGGUGCAUUUGAGGGAAGAA
This is a long non-coding RNA of Bombus terrestris (buff-tailed bumblebee), 3171 nucleotides long. RefSeq lists it as uncharacterized. Lineage: Eukaryota; Metazoa; Arthropoda; Insecta; Hymenoptera; Apidae. The record is from RefSeq and is a predicted model, not a curated record. The transcript has 2 exons.